AACGCACCUUGCGCUCCUUGGUAUUCCGAGGAGCAUGCCUGUUUGAGUGUCAUUAAAUUCUCAACCUCACCAUUUUUGUAAUGAGAAUGUGUGUAGGCUUGGAUGUGGGGGUUGCAGGUCCACUCUGUGGUCUGCUCCUCUGAAAUGUAUUAGUGGGUUUGGUCCCCUAUCUAUUGGUGUGAUAAUUAUCUACGCCGUGGACUGGAAGACUAUUAUGAACCUGCUUCUAACCGUCCUUUACCGGACAAUACUUGACAUUUUUGACCUCAAAUCAGGUAAGACUACCCGCUGAACUUAA
RNAcentral lists this unclassified non-coding RNA (298 nucleotides) under uncultured Coprinopsis. Its description in RNAcentral is "sequence contains ITS2". The stretch from base 1 to 52 matches the Rfam family "5.8S ribosomal RNA", at positions 103 to 154 of the family's 154-position model. Lineage: Eukaryota; Fungi; Basidiomycota; Agaricomycetes; Agaricales; Psathyrellaceae. The record is from RNAcentral.